CUUUGAAAGAAGUCUCUCUUUAUUUCUGUCAAACGUGAAUUGGUGUGAUCCAAUUGUUUUUAAACAAAUAAUAUUUUAAUUUGUUGUUGUCACUCAACACAGACCUGUGAAUAAUUUAGUGUUCAUGUGAAAUUUUUAUAACUGGUAAAAUGAAUGAAGAGGGUGCUUCAUUUUCACCAAAAAAAUCAUCCAAGUGUAGAACAUUCUGUUCUGUGCCAGGAUGUUAUUCACGGGCCAAAACAUCAAGAAAUUUGUCGUUUCAUGUAUGGCUUAAGAAAGGAGCUUUAAAAACUAAAGUAAUAAACAGCUUUGGAAAUGAAGACUUUGUUAAUUGUCAUACAGAAUGGAUGAGACGAUUUAAAAUGGGUAAACCUAAUUCACUUUACAUGAAAGUGUGUUCAAAACACUUUGUACGUGAAGAUUAUUAUUAUUUAGGUCAAAAUUCAAAAAUUAAAAAGUUUGAAAAAAACGCUCUACCAAGUAAGAAUUUACCGCAAGCUCCAAAGCACGGAACAGUUGUUAAAGGAAAGAUGUCAUCGAAAUCUAUUUCGUAAUUCGAGUUCACAGGUGGUGAUAUAGGAACUGAUAAGCGGAUUUGUAUUCAUUUUAAUUAUAUUUUUACAGGUUUUGCCAUAUUGUAAUGUUUCAUUUUGGUAACAGGAGUGCACAUAAAAUAAGGAAGAGGGAAUUAAUAUUUUUCUUUGAGAAUUUUCUUCAUAGUUAUUGAAAAUUGAUAAUUAAUUGUUUAUAAAAUUUUAUUUAAUUAGAGAAGAUCUUUUUACGUAUAGCUUAGAAAACUGUAAGGUAUGAGUGUAUAACAGUGUGUAGAUGCUUGGAUUUUAUAAAUUAAGUUUUAAAAUACUCCAUUAUGUAAUAUUUGAAACAAGUUGUUAAUUCAGAUGUUCA
This is a long non-coding RNA of Leptopilina boulardi, 906 nucleotides long. RefSeq lists it as uncharacterized. The record is from RefSeq and is a predicted model, not a curated record. Lineage: Eukaryota; Metazoa; Arthropoda; Insecta; Hymenoptera; Figitidae. The transcript has 4 exons.